Molecule: non-coding RNA, 72 nt
Organism: Spirochaeta sp.
Lineage: Bacteria; Pseudomonadati; Spirochaetota; Spirochaetia; Spirochaetales; Spirochaetaceae
Source: Rfam
GCGUCCGUCGUAUAAUGGUUAUUACCCCAGCCUUCCAAGCUGGAGAUGUCGGUUCGAUUCCGAUCGGACGCU